UCGAGCGGUAGCACAGAAAGCUUGCUCUCGGGUGACGAUCGGCGGACGGGUGAGUAAUGUCUGGGAAACUGCCUGAUGGAGGGGGAUAACUACUGGCAAACGGUAGCUAAUACCGCAUAACGUCGCAAGACCAAAGUGGGGGACCUUCGGGCCUCAUGCCAUCAAAUGUGCCCAGAUAGGAUUAGCUGGUAGGUGGGGUAACGGCUCACCUANGCGACGAUCCCUAACUGGUCUGAGAGGAUGACCAGCCACACUGGAACUUAUACACGGUCCAG
This 275-nucleotide ribosomal RNA is filed under the name Klebsiella sp. P3. Its description in RNAcentral is "partial 16S rRNA". It matches the Rfam family "Bacterial small subunit ribosomal RNA", at positions 62 to 334 of the family's 1533-position model. Lineage: Bacteria; Pseudomonadati; Pseudomonadota; Gammaproteobacteria; Enterobacterales; Enterobacteriaceae. The record is from RNAcentral.